GACGAACGCUGGCGGCGUGCUUAACACAUGCAAGUCGAACGAUGAAGCCUAGCUUGCUAGGUGGAUUAGUGGCGAACGGGUGAGUAAUACGUGAGUAACCUACCUUUAACUCUGGGAUAAGCCUGGGAAACUGGGUCUAAUACCGGAUACGACCAAUCUCCGCAUGGGGUGUUGGUGGAAAGCGUUAUGUAGUGGUUAUAGAUGGGCUCACGGCCUAUCAGCUUGUUGGUGAGGUAACGGCUCACCAAGGCGACGACGGGUAGCCGGCCUGAGAGGGUGACCGGCCACACUGGGACUGAGACACGGCCCAGACUCCUACGGGAGGCAGCAGUGGGGAAUAUUGCACAAUGGGCGCAAGCCUGAUGCAGCGACGCCGCGUGAGGGAUGACGGCCUUCGGGUUGUAAACCUCUGUUAGCAGGGAAGAAGAGAAAUUGACGGUACCUGCAGAGAAAGCGCCGGCUAACUACGUGCCAGCAGCCGCGGUAAUACGUAGGGCGCGAGCGUUGUCCGGAAUUAUUGGGCGUAAAGAGCUUGUAGGCGGUUUGUCGCGUCUGCUGUGAAGGCCGGGGCUUAACCCCGUGUAUUGCAGUGGGUACGGGCAGACUAGAGUGCAGUAGGGGAGACUGGAAUUCCUGGUGUAGCGGUGGAAUGCGCAGAUAUCAGGAGGAACACCGAUGGCGAAGGCAGGUCUCUGGGCUGUAACUGACGCUGAGAAGCGAAAGCAUGGGGAGCGAACAGGAUUAGAUACCCUGGUAGUCCAUGCCGUAAACGUUGGGCACUAGGUGUGGGGGACAUUCCACGUUUUCCGCGCCGUAGCUAACGCAUUAAGUGCCCCGCCUGGGGAGUACGGCCGCAAGGCUAAAACUCAAAGAAAUUGACGGGGGCCCGCACAAGCGGCGGAGCAUGCGGAUUAAUUCGAUGCAACGCGAAGAACCUUACCAAGGCUUGACAUAUACUGGACCGCAUCAGAGAUGGUGUUUCCCUUCGGGGCUGGUAUACAGGUGGUGCGUGGUUGUCGUCAGCUCGUGUCGUGAGAUGUUGGGUUAAGUCCCGCAACGAGCGCAACCCUCGUUCUAUGUUGCCAGCACGUUAUGGUGGGGACUCAUAGGAGACUGCCGGGGUCAACUCGGAGGAAGGUGGGGAUGACGUCAAAUCAUCAUGCCCCUUAUGUCUUGGGCUUCACGCAUGCUACAAUGGCCGGUACAGAGGGUUGCGAUACUGUGAGGUGGAGCUAAUCCCUAAAAGCCGGUCUCAGUUCGGAUUGGGGUCUGCAACUCGACCCCAUGAAGUCGGAGUCGCUAGUAAUCGCAGAUCAGCAACGCUGCGGUGAAUACGUUCCCGGGCCU
RNAcentral lists this ribosomal RNA (1347 nucleotides) under uncultured bacterium. Its description in RNAcentral is "bacterial SSU rRNA". It matches the Rfam family "Bacterial small subunit ribosomal RNA", at positions 28 to 1381 of the family's 1533-position model. The record is from RNAcentral.